This 253-nucleotide ribosomal RNA is filed under the name uncultured bacterium. Its description in RNAcentral is "partial 16S ribosomal RNA". It matches the Rfam family "Bacterial small subunit ribosomal RNA", at positions 524 to 776 of the family's 1533-position model. The record is from RNAcentral.
UACGGAGGGUGCAAGCGUUGCUCGGAAUUAUUGGGCGUAAAGGGUAGGUAGGUGGUCUCAUUUGUCUGGGGUGAAAGCCUUGAGCUUAACUCAAGAAGUGCCCCAGAAACGGUGAGACUAGAGUUCUGGAGAGGGUCGUGGAAUUCCCGGUGUAGCGGUGAAAUGCGUAGAGAUCGGGAGGAACACCAGAGGCGAAGGCGGCGACCUGGACAGAUACUGACACUUAACUACGAAAGCGUGGGGAGCAAACAGG